GACGAACGCUGGCGGCGUGCUUAACACAUGCAAGUCGAACGAUGAAGCCUUUCGGGGUGGAUUAGUGGCGAACGGGUGAGUAACACGUGGGCAAUCUGCCCUGUACUCUGGGAUAAGCCUUGGAAACGGGGUCUAAUACCGGAUAUCACUUACCUCCGCAUGGGGUUGUUGAAAGUCUGGCGGUACAGAUGAGCCCGCCGGCCUAUCAGCUUGUUGGUGGGGUAGUGGCCUACCAAGGCGACGACGGGUAGCCGGCCUGAGAGGGUGACCGGCCACACUGGGACUGAGACACGGCCC
This 297-nucleotide ribosomal RNA is filed under the name uncultured bacterium. RNAcentral's name for it is "partial 16S ribosomal RNA". It matches the Rfam family "Bacterial small subunit ribosomal RNA", at positions 28 to 332 of the family's 1533-position model. The record is from RNAcentral.